CUCUUGAGCAAGUAAUAUGGGAGUCGGACCUGCCCAGUGAAUAACUUUUCAACGGCCGCGGUACUCUGACCGUGCGAAGGUAGCAUAAUCAUUUGCCCUAUAAUUGAGGGCUAGUAUGAAUGGUUUGACGAGAACAAAGCUGUCUCUGUGUGAUUUUUUAGAAUUUGAUUUUUAGGUGAAGAAACCUAAAUAACAUUGAAAGACAAGAAGACCCUAUUGAGCUUUAAAAAAAUAAGUGGGAACAAAUAUAUAAAUCUAAAUAUUAAUCUGUUUAAAAUUUUGGUUGGGGCGACUAUGGAACAGGCAAAGCUUCUUUAUUGCUAAAAGACUCUCAGGUUUUGAUCCAAAAGUUUUGAUUAAUGGAAUUAGUUACCAUAGGGAUAACAGCAUAAUCUUCUUUGAGAGUUCUUAUCGAAAAGGGGGUUUGUGACCUCGAUGUUGGACUAGAAUAUCCUAAAGAUGCAGCAGUCUUUAAGGGUUGGUCUGUUCGACCAUAAAAUCU
Molecule: ribosomal RNA, 502 nt
Filed under: Lyncina lynx
Lineage: Eukaryota; Metazoa; Mollusca; Gastropoda; Littorinimorpha; Cypraeidae
Description: partial 16S ribosomal RNA
Rfam family: Bacterial large subunit ribosomal RNA
Source: RNAcentral